CAGCAACAGCUGGUGAUACAGAGGUAUCUUAGUUCUGUUUCAGUUUUUUUGAUACAGAGGUAACUUAAUUUCAGUUUUUUGAUUGAAUUAUCAUGUUCAUAUUAGUUCUUCUUGGGAACAAAAUAUGGAUAUACUGACUUUAAAUGCUAUUGUUAUUUGAGAAUACAGGCAUGAAGAGUAACCCUUUUCCUGUUUAGUAUUUACCAUUAUUACUAGGGCACCACUGAGAUCCAGAUUAUAGGACCUCAGAUGAUGAGCAUUCAGUAGUAAAAAAGAAAUUGGAUUUUGAUUGAGUUGAAGUAUGUUUCUCCUGUAAGGAAUGUUAUGGUAAUUAGCCUGUUGUUACCUGAAGCAAAUACAUGAUUAGUAUAUUUUGGACAGUGAAGGCCAUAAAAUUUAUCCGUUGCAGUCCCUCCAAAUUACUUUG
This 427-nucleotide unclassified non-coding RNA is filed under the name Hevea brasiliensis (rubber tree). The record is from RNAcentral. Lineage: Eukaryota; Viridiplantae; Streptophyta; Magnoliopsida; Malpighiales; Euphorbiaceae.